This 412-nucleotide long non-coding RNA is filed under the name Homo sapiens (human). RNAcentral's name for it is "non-protein coding lnc-KDM4C-4:2". Lineage: Eukaryota; Metazoa; Chordata; Mammalia; Primates; Hominidae. The record is from RNAcentral.
GCUCUGGCCUGGACCAAGAGAAUGCAGUUAAAAUCAAGAAAUGGCUUCCAUUCUGUGAGCUGUGACUUCUAACGUGGCCACAUAGCUGGUGGAGAGGUGACAACCUUCAUCUCCAAGGAUCCCCUGCACUGCUUGCUUUAUGCCCAGAGCAACCUCAUGCUGACAAGGACUGCACAGUUUUGAACACCCAUGCUCCAAUCAAAAGAAACCAAUUUGUGAGAGACGAUAUAAAUCCAUGAAUACUGCACUGAAACCUCUUUCUGCUCCAGGCAGAGAAGAUAAAUUACCACCCGAGUGAUAUAAAGUUAGUUUGAAUAUUUCAUUGGAUCAAAUGCAACAUGUCUCAGAACCUCUCCUCUUUUAAGUCAGAAUUAAAGAAUUGUUAUCAGGCAUAAUAAUAGACACUAUCAUU